Molecule: ribosomal RNA, 402 nt
Filed under: bacterium
Lineage: Bacteria
Description: partial 16S ribosomal RNA
Rfam family: Bacterial small subunit ribosomal RNA
Source: RNAcentral
UGGGGAAUAUUGCACAAUGGGGGAAACCCUGAUGCAGCGACGCCGCGUGAACGAAGAAGGUAUUCGUAUCGUAAAGUUCUGUCCUAUGGGAAGAUAAUGACAGUACCAUAGAAGAAAGCUCCGGCUAAAUACGUGCCAGCAGCCGCGGUAAUACGUAUGGAGCGAGCGUUGUCCGGAAUUAUUGGGCGUAAGGGGUACGCAGGCGGUUUAAUAAGUCGAAUGUAAAGAUCGGGGCUCAACCCCGCAAAGCAUUGGAAACUGAUAAACUUGAGUAGUGGAGAGGAAAGUGGAAUUCCUAGUGUAGUGGUGAAAUACGUAGAUAUUAGGAGGAAUACCAGUAGCGAAGGCGACUUUCUGGACACAAACUGACGCUGAGGUACGAAAGCGUGGGGAGCAAACAGG